AGCACGUCGUGUGUGCCCAUCAAAGAGACGUGUUCUGUGCAGUCUAGCCAGCACAUUGAUGGGGUUCCUUCCUCUCCACAUCUGGGUAUCAGAGGUGGUGACCCACAUCCAGAAGAGAACAUCCACUGCCCGGGAUGGGCACAAGGAGAAGGAUCACCUCUGUCCUGCUGAAAUGGCACAAGCAGGAGGUGGCCUGCAGAACCUUACCUUGUGGAGUGCUGACUGUGAGCUGAAGACAACCCUGAGCAGAAGCACAGGCGGGAGGGACCUUCUGAAAUGGCCAUCUACCCUGUGCAUGCAGCACAAAGGCAACCAAUUCCUCAUCUCUCCAGCCUAUAAAUCUUUGUUGACCAUCUCUGUGCUUGUCUCUAGAAGAACAUUUGAUCUAAUAGCCUUUUUAAAAAUUUCCCUUAAUUUUCCAGCAUAACCCCCCAGUGAAUCAUUAAUGUAACAAGAUAAAGAUCUCCAGCUAAGGAAUUAUUCUUAUUACAAAGUUCCCAAGUUCUAGUAGCAAACCUCUCCAGGGUAUAUAUUAA
This 536-nucleotide long non-coding RNA is filed under the name Serinus canaria (Common canary). Its description in RNAcentral is "lncRNA (ENSSCAG00000000360.1)". Lineage: Eukaryota; Metazoa; Chordata; Aves; Passeriformes; Fringillidae. The record is from RNAcentral.